CCAACCUUUCUUUCGAAUAAAUCAUAGCACUACCUCACUAGUCUGAAAGCAACUGGAACAUUCUGGAAGCUUUUUUUUUGCGGUUGCAGACACUGUCUACUUCAAGUUCAUGAUUUGCUUAGCGACAGAAGAGAAGGUUGAGGGACAAGUGACCCCCCCCCCCCCCCCCCCUUACGACUGCCAAAAUCAUCUACCAGGCUCCUCCCUGUUAAUGGGCUGGUUUGGAUUUCUUCUUUUAGGUCCUUGUCUGUUUCUCAGGAUGUGGGGAGUCUUUCAGGCACUCUUGAGAUCAGACCUAAGAGCUGAAUGCCCCGUAUCCCACACCCCAUCCCUCACACACACACACACACACUCACCGGACAGACCUGACACCAGCAUCAGGAUGUUGGUUAUUCUGAGGGGAAGCUCCCCAACUUCAGCCUUGAUCCGGACAAAGGCAGUCCUGCAGGAGAUGAGGUCCAACAUCUACAGCAAGCCGCCCAAAAACAAGAUUGGACCAGGGCAAAGCUUCUUCAUCAUGUCAGUGUUUGCUGUCGCCAUGCUGGUCCCAGCGGGCUGGAUCAUGCAUCACCUCCCAGAGUACCGUCAAAGACCACAUCCUCCUAAAUCCUGAAGGCCCCUCAGCUUGCUUACACACACCGCCCACAAGCCACACGUCUGGAUCUCAUGUAUUAGCCACCAUGCCAUCAGUCCACCCUCCUGUGUAAUUUGUAACAGCAAACAAAAAACUGCCAAAAACUGAACACAUUAGCCACUAGUUCUCACUUAAACGAUGAAAGAACCAUUAACGAACGUAUUCAAAUGACAGCAUAUAUCAUCUCAUUCAUCUGUACGUAAAUAUUCUUAUAGCAUGGUGUCAAAUACCUCUGAAAAAUGGCCCUUAACGUCGCUGCAGCAUCCAUAUGCAAUGACACGUUUGUAAAACUGUCAACUCACUGCCAUGAUCAAUAAAUGAAAGUAGUGUUGG
Osmerus eperlanus (European smelt) is the source of this 967-nucleotide long non-coding RNA. RefSeq lists it as uncharacterized. The transcript has 2 exons. NCBI's taxonomy places the organism in Eukaryota, Metazoa, Chordata, Actinopteri, Osmeriformes, Osmeridae. The record is from RefSeq and is a predicted model, not a curated record.